GACGAACGCUGGCGGCGUGCUUAACACAUGCCAGUCGAACGGAAAGGCCCUGCUUUUGUGGGGUGCUCGAGUGGCGAACGGGUGAGUAACACGUGAGUAACCUGCCCUUGACUUUGGGAUAACUUCAGGAAACUGGGGCUAAUACCGGAUAGGAGCUCCUGCUGCAUGGUGGGGGUUGGAAAGUUUCGGCGGUUGGGGAUGGACUCGCGGCUUAUCAGCUUGUUGGUGGGGUAGUGGCUUACCAAGGCUUUGACGGGUAGCCGGCCUGAGAGGGUGACCGGCCACAGUGGGACUGAGAUACGGCCCAGACUCCUACGGGAGGCAGCAGUGGGGAAUAUUGCACAAUGGGCGGAAGCCUGAUGCAGCAACGCCGCGUGCGGGAUGACGGCCUUCGGGUUGUAAACCGCUUUCGCCUGUGACGAAGCGUGAGUGACGGUAAUGGGUAAAGAAGCACCGGCUAACUACGU
RNAcentral lists this ribosomal RNA (467 nucleotides) under uncultured bacterium. Its description in RNAcentral is "partial 16S ribosomal RNA". It matches the Rfam family "Bacterial small subunit ribosomal RNA", at positions 28 to 506 of the family's 1533-position model. The record is from RNAcentral.